UGGGGAAUAUUGCACAAUGGGCGCAAGCCUGAUGCAGCGACGCCGCGUGGGGGAUGAAGGCUUUCGGGUUGUAAACCUCUUUCGCUAUCGAACAAGGCCCGCUUAGGGUGGGUUGAGGGUAGGUGGAGAAGAAGCGCCGGCUAACUACGUGCCAGCAGCCGCGGUAAUACGUAGGGCGCGAGCGUUGUCCGGAAUUAUUGGGCGUAAAGGGCUUGUAGGCGGCUUGUUGCGCCUGCUGUGAAAACGCGGGGCUUAACUUCGCGCGUGGAGUGGGUACGGGCAGGCUUGAGUGUGGUAGGGGUGACUGGAAUUCCAGGUGUAGCGGUGGAAUGCGCAGAUAUCUGGAGGAACACCGAUGGCGAAGGCAGGUCACUGGGCCAUUACUGACGCUCAGGUGCGAAAGCGUGGGGAGCAAACAGG
RNAcentral lists this ribosomal RNA (420 nucleotides) under Chloroflexota bacterium. RNAcentral describes it as "Chloroflexi bacterium partial 16S ribosomal RNA". It matches the Rfam family "Bacterial small subunit ribosomal RNA", at positions 355 to 776 of the family's 1533-position model. Lineage: Bacteria; Bacillati; Chloroflexota. The record is from RNAcentral.